This 77-nucleotide transfer RNA is filed under the name Marinovum algicola. Its description in RNAcentral is "tRNA_Arg_CCG". It matches the Rfam family "tRNA". Rfam says of the family: Transfer RNA (tRNA) molecules are approximately 80 nucleotides in length. Their secondary structure includes four short double-helical elements and three loops (D, anti-codon, and T loops). Further hydrogen bonds mediate the characteristic L-shaped molecular structure. tRNAs have two regions of fundamental functional importance: the anti-codon, which is responsible for specific mRNA codon recognition, and the 3' end, to which the tRNAs corresponding amino acid is attached (by aminoacyl-tRNA synthetases). tRNAs cope with the degeneracy of the genetic code in two manners: having more than one tRNA (with a specific anti-codon) for a particular amino acid; and 'wobble' base-pairing, i.e. permitting non-standard base-pairing at the 3rd anti-codon position. RNAcentral also lists the same sequence under 19 other names. Lineage: Bacteria; Pseudomonadati; Pseudomonadota; Alphaproteobacteria; Rhodobacterales; Roseobacteraceae. The record is from RNAcentral.
GCACCUGUAGCUCAGCUGGAUAGAGCGCUGCCCUCCGAAGGCAGAGGCCAAAGGUUCGAAUCCUUUCAGGUGCGCCA